AUUGAACGCUGGCGGCAUGCCUUACACAUGCAAGUCGAACGGUAACGGGCCUUCGGGUGCCGACGAGUGGCGAACGGGUGAGUAAUACAUCGGAACGUGCCCGAUCGUGGGGGAUAACGAGGCGAAAGCUUUGCUAAUACCGCAUACGAUCUACGGAUGAAGGCAGGGGACCGCAAGGCCUUGCGCGGACGGAGCGGCCGAUGGCAGAUUAGGUAGUUGGUGGGAUAAAAGCUUACCAAGCCGACGAUCUGUAGCUGGUCUGAGAGGAUGAUCAGCCACACUGGCACUGAGACACGGCCCAGACUCCUACGGGAGGCAGCAGUGGGGAAUUUUGGACAAUGGGCGCAAGCCUGAUCCAGCCAUGCCGCGUGCAGGAUGAAGGCCUUCGGGUUGUAAACUGCUUUUGUACGGAACGAAAAGCCUUCUUUUAAUACAGGAGGGUCAUGACGGUACCGUAAGAAUAAGCACCGGCUAACUACGUG
This 482-nucleotide ribosomal RNA is filed under the name uncultured bacterium. Its description in RNAcentral is "partial 16S ribosomal RNA". It matches the Rfam family "Bacterial small subunit ribosomal RNA", at positions 30 to 507 of the family's 1533-position model. The record is from RNAcentral.